RNAcentral lists this long non-coding RNA (408 nucleotides) under Coturnix japonica (Japanese quail). Its description in RNAcentral is "lncRNA (ENSCJPG00005000814.1)". Lineage: Eukaryota; Metazoa; Chordata; Aves; Galliformes; Phasianidae. The record is from RNAcentral.
AUAAAGGGAAGAAAGUGUAAUUACAAGAAAAAGAAACAGUAUUUAAUGGUCUGUUCACUGUUUUGUUUUUCAGGGAGACCCAGGACCACAGGGACUCCAAGGAGAGCAGGGCCAUGCUGGUCCUAAUGGUGCAGAAGGUCGAAGAGGCCCUCCAGGCAUAAAAGGUGAGCAAGGAGAACUGGGGGAAACAGGUUACCCAGGAGACCCUGGUCUUCCAGGCCCACAGGUAGCUAAGAGUACUUUGGAUUUGAUGUAUGUUAGCAGUGGAGAAAUUAGUUGUCAGUCUCGAUCUUUUGUUUUCCUUUUGGAAUGCUUUUUUUUAAAAUUUCAAUUAAUGAAUAUUAUGAGCAAAUAUUCUCUGUGACCGUGAAGAAAUAAAUGUACAAAGUUUCUUUUUAUGUUUAUGCA